AGGUCGGCGCGGCUGUGCUGCGGGCAGGCAGCGGAGAGGGCUCGCGGCGAGGGCUCCAGCUUACCCCGCCGCCGCGUCGCGUGCACGGAGCGCUUCAGAGGUUUGGAGGGGGCCGGAACCUCAAAAGCAACUGGAUGAGCACAACGCGGACGCCCCGGAGAAGCGGCGCAAGCGGGCCCAAAAUGGUUGCUGAUCAGACGAGUGGCAUCUCUCGCCCCCCUACCGCGGGAAUUGGGACCUCCAGACUGUGCCUGGGGGAUCGGCAAGUGGUUCCCCUCUGGUUUUUUCGGCGCUGCCUUCCCGGUGGUAUCCUCACUCUCUCUCUUUGAAAUGACCUCUGCUUUCCUAUCUCUAACUCUUCCCAGAUAUUUGAAAGCAAGUUUUUGUACAAAGCAACAUAUGAAUGUAUUCAGCCAUUCGAUCGUUCGGCGAACAUUUCUAGGUGUCUCGUGCUGUGCCAGAUAUUGUUCUGAGUGCGCUGAAGAUGCACCUGUUAGCAAGACAAAGUCCUGGCUCCCACGGAGCUUAUUCGAAGCAAUAGGGGCCCCCAAGCAGCUAAAGAUAGGCCAGAAGUGCUGGGGAGUUACACCUCCAGAAAUAGUCCUCAGUCAACUGUCAGAUGGGCGUUGAAGGAUAACGACCCCAGCUUCUUUCCUCCGUAGUUGGGACGAUGUGAAGUGAGUUCUCCACUGUCUCCCCAAGUUCUUCAGCAGGAUCCAGCCUCGACACCCACAACAGAACCUUGCCCUAUUGCACACCCUCUGUUGGCUUAACUUCCCUUCCCCGUCUCGCUUUCCUAUUCCCAACAGAGGUUCCCAAGAUCACUUCCCAAAUAAAAUAUUGCAUGAAAAUUAUUGCCCACAGGAUUGCUUCUGGGGGAAUCCAACCCAGUCUAACAAGAUAUGUUCAUUAAGAUUUAUUACCUUUAUAAUAGAGAAAGAUAGAUAGGGAAAAAAUAAUCACAUCUAUAAGGUGUUUUCAAGCAUGAACCUAAAAAUAAGAUUUUAGCCAGACUCUAGUGUAUUCAUAUUAUCUGAGUAACCAGGCAUUGAUGAAUUUGGACAGCAGGGAAUGGAAAGGAUUUCUUAGCUAAAUGAGUUAGAGUACUUUAAGUUGCAUAUUUGAUAUUUUGGUACCAGGCCCGCUGUAAUGCAAAAGUUGGAUAGGAAAACUUGCAUUCUGGGUAUAGUCUCAUUAUCAACCAUGUGCCAUGUUUUUCUUACCUAAAGAGUAGAGAAAAUAAAAGUGUCCCCUUUAUGUAAAUAAGACUAUCAAGAGUGUAAACUGCUUCAAGGUGCUUGGAAUUUAAUCUAUAUUAUUAUGCUAUUUUUUGAACAGC
RNAcentral lists this long non-coding RNA (1339 nucleotides) under Homo sapiens (human). RNAcentral's name for it is "HSALNT0343311". Lineage: Eukaryota; Metazoa; Chordata; Mammalia; Primates; Hominidae. The record is from RNAcentral.